AACGCACAUUGCGCCUCUCUCUCGAGAGGCAUGCCUGUCUGAGCGUCAUUAAAACAUAAAUGGAUCCCAAUUUGGGUUCCGUAUUGGGCGGCUCGCCUUUUGGGGCGUCGUCUUAAAGGUAUUAAGUCUGAUUAGCGGGUGGGUUCCUGUAGGACAAGGCCGCUUUCAAGCUAGAAUUAUAUCUGAAUUUGACCUCAGAUCAGGUAGGAGUACCGCCUGAACUUAA
This 226-nucleotide unclassified non-coding RNA is filed under the name uncultured fungus. RNAcentral's name for it is "partial contains 5.8S ribosomal RNA, internal transcribed spacer 2, and large subunit ribosomal RNA". The record is from RNAcentral. Lineage: Eukaryota; Fungi.